GGGGGUGGGGAAAAAAUGCGCAACAGAAACGAAAUCGCACGGUAUGUUUAGACAGAGCCACUCAACCCCCCACCCGUGUUUCCGCACGCCCUCAUUUGCAUAAACAUGAGUAAUUUAUGAAUAAUAAAUGCCCUUGCAUUCAGCGGGAGCCGUUAAUUUGCAUAUCACCACAGCUACAGUUUUAUUUCCUUAGUGCGGCGUUAUCAUGAAGCCCUUCGAGCCUGCAUAAAACCAGGCUCAAAGAAAUGACGCUUUAACAGAUCAGAGGACGGGGGGAAGCCCCCUUUCAUCUCUGUGACAGCGCUUUUCACCUCCACUGGUGACUGGUGCUCCUAUUGCACACUGGGAUGCCAGACAGAGCAGAAUGCCACAGGCCCGUGCGCCCUGGCAACCGUUCCUGCUUUAGAUGCCCCCCUCGCUCCACAGCGUACUCUGGGAAUACGCGCACCCUCCUCCAGCCUCCUUUAGCCGUCCACUCCGAGCCUUCCUCCACAACCUCCAGACAGGUCACUGAUGGAUGGAGUAGGAGAGCGCAGAGAGCCCCUUGAUGUUGGAAAUAAAUCUGAUAGGCCCGGAUGGAUAAGGCCAAGCAUUAUAUUUCUCAUUGGCCUCACGCUGAAGUGUGUACAUGUGGAGCGGUUUGUCCUAUUUUACUACACCAUUUUCUUUACUUUUAACACCCUCCCUCAUCUGCGCCCCAGCCCUUCCUUUCUUCUCCUCUAUGGCAGCAGAGAUAAUGCCAUAAUUUACAGCUAUGCAUUGUAGAAGAUGAAUGAUAGUUGCUUUUCUUGCUUAAUAUGCAUUCACCACUACCAGAUAAUAGUCUUUUUGUAGGAAUAAUAAAAGAAAUACCCUCAAAUUUUUUUUUGCAUUUUUAUGUUAUAUCCCUUCUCCAUAAUGUGCUAAAAGUGAUGUAUAAUUUUCAAUCUUUCAUUAGAAACAAAAUUGAUAAUGAUGAAAGUGUGCUAGAUUUUUCUAUAGCUUUUCUUCUUUUUUCAUGUUCUUAAGUGAAAUAUUGCGCGAGGGGGGGAAAGUUCGCUUUUCUUUUUCUCCCAUAGGUAGUCUCUUGAGUGUAUAUGCAGCCUGCUUAAGAACAGUGGGAGAAAACCACACACACACACACACACAAAUAAUUUUGCAGACAUCUUUUUGCAAAAACAUCUAGUCUUGAUGCAUAUACAGCAUAAAUAUGUAUUCCAUGUCUCCCUCACAAACAGCAAUUUCUCUUGUAAAUUCACACUUCCAUGUCUUCUCAGCAGACUGUGUGGUAAAGGAGGCUGGAGCUUCAGUGUGUGUUUGUGUGUGCGUGAAAAGAGGCUGGGUUCCAGUGUCCAGGGCCCGGUUUCCCUUGGGAGCACUCUAAAAUACUCCACUGACCUUCCUAUCUCCUUCAAAUGCAGGUCAUGGCAAGGGGUCAGAGGUCACUUGGAGCAACAGGAUGUCAGCGUGUGAUCUCCGUGCAAACAGGGUUCCUGCUGGCAUCCUUUGGAAGAGAGAGUCCACAAAAGUAUAGUCUGUGUUGAGCACGUUCCUCUACUACAGGAUGGGAUGUCACCAGAAAUGUCCUGUAAAAAAAAUGAGUUUCCAUCUUUGGUCAUCUGGAAACAAGUUUCAGAAGGUGGCAUGGCCAGAAAAUCAGACAAAACAAAAUGCACAAGGUCGUCUUUUAACUUUUCAGAGCUUGGUCUGAUCUUCUGACCAUAAGGAGUCAACUGCAUCUUAAGUUUUGACCGACGUCCCAGUUGUGUAAAUUUGUGUAUGAAGCUACAAGGACGUAUUAAAAAGGACAAAUUAAAGAACAUAAUUUAUUUAAGACUAAACUCUAAAGCAGAAAUAAAUACAUGAAAGAAUAACAGUGUGUGUAAUUUGCUUUGUGAACCCAGCAAUGAAUAACAAACACUUUCAAUGGUAACACAAACUGAAGGAGCGAUGCCCAAUAAGGCAUCCAGUACUCUUUCGCAACCGAUCAGAACCACGCCGUCAAACACAGGUUCAAAGCUGAUUUUAGCCCACCACACUCCGACAACGAAAGAAAAGAGUUUGCCAUUCAAAUGAGAAAUGUUUACAGGCCUCAAUAUGUGUAAUAAAUACAAAAAAAAAUACAGAUCAAUCAAUUAAACUGGUCAUUAGGAUAAAUUACAAUUUGCUUGAGGGGCAGAUUUAGACAGAUUAGACAGGAGUUUAAGAAGUACAAGGAGUGAGGGGUGUUAAAUCAAGUCAUCAAACAAAUAAUUUCCAUAAAAAACAAACAGAAAAUCUAGAAAUUAGGCAGGAUUGAUACAUUCAUUAUGUGCAUAUUCUCCAUCCUUUAAAAACACACAACUAAAGCUAAGACUUUUGACAUCAGGAGCUUAGAAACGCUGAUAUGGUGGUUCUGUACAAAACUGAGCUGGAAUUUUGAAAUUACAGCUCGAUUGUUUAUUAAAAGCAAAAGGAAAUGACAGGCCAGAGAACCGCAGCACCGUGCGAUUAAUCUGGCGCCACAUACCCAACAUUCCUGAAUAAACUGGACAAUCGCAUUGGCCAGUGUGUCAUCUGCACAAUGACUGCUUGUGCGUUUAA
Molecule: long non-coding RNA, 2562 nt
Organism: Haplochromis burtoni (Burton's mouthbrooder)
Lineage: Eukaryota; Metazoa; Chordata; Actinopteri; Cichliformes; Cichlidae
Exons: 3
Source: RefSeq, a predicted model, not a curated record